GGUUAAGCGACUAAGCGUACACGGUGGAUGCCCUGGCAGUCAGAGGCGAUGAAGGACGUGCUAAUCUGCGAUAAGCGUCGGUAAGGUGAUAUGAACCGUUAUAACCGGCGAUUUCCGAAUGGGGAAACCCAGUGUGUUUCGACACACUAUCAUUAACUGAAUCCAUAGGUUAAUGAGGCGAACCGGGGGAACUGAAACAUCUAAGUACCCCGAGGAAAAGAAAUCAACCGAGAUUCCCCCAGUAGCGGCGAGCGAACGGGGAGCAGCCCAGAGCCUGAAUCAGUAUGUGUGUUAGUGGAAGCGUCUGGAAAGGCGCGCGAUACAGGGUGACAGCCCCGUACACAAAAAUGCACAUGCUGUGAGCUCGAUGAGUAGGGCGGGACACGUGGUAUCCUGUCUGAAUAUGGGGGGACCAUCCUCCAAGGCUAAAUACUCCUGACUGACCGAUAGUGAACCAGUACCGUGAGGGAAAGGCGAAAAGAACCCCGGCGAGGGGAGUGAAAAAGAACCUGAAACCGUGUACGUACAAGCAGUGGGAGCACGCUUAGGCGUGUGACUGCGUACCUUUUGUAUAAUGGGUCAGCGACUUAUAUUCUGUAGCAAGGUUAACCGAAUAGGGGAGCCGAAGGGAAACCGAGUCUUAACUGGGCGUUAAGUUGCAGGGUAUAGACCCGAAACCCGGUGAUCUAGCCAUGGGCAGGUUGAAGGUUGGGUAACACUAACUGGAGGACCGAACCGACUAAUGUUGAAAAAUUAGCGGAUGACUUGUGGCUGGGGGUGAAAGGCCAAUCAAACCGGGAGAUAGCUGGUUCUCCCCGAAAGCUAUUUAGGUAGCGCCUCGUGAAUUCAUCUCCGGGGGUAGAGCACUGUUUCGGCAAGGGGGUCAUCCCGACUUACCAACCCGAUGCAAACUGCGAAUACCGGAGAAUGUUAUCACGGGAGACACACGGCGGGUGCUAACGUCCGUCGUGAAGAGGGAAACAACCCAGACCGCCAGCUAAGGUCCCAAAGUCAUGGUUAAGUGGGAAACGAUGUGGGAAGGCCCAGACAGCCAGGAUGUUGGCUUAGAAGCAGCCAUCAUUUAAAGAAAGCGUAAUAGCUCACUGGUCGAGUCGGCCUGCGCGGAAGAUGUAACGGGGCUAAACCAUGCACCGAAGCUGCGGCAGCGACACUAUGUGUUGUUGGGUAGGGGAGCGUUCUGUAAGCCUGUGAAGGUGUGCUGUGAGGCAUGCUGGAGGUAUCAGAAGUGCGAAUGCUGACAUAAGUAACGAUAAAGCGGGUGAAAAGCCCGCUCGCCGGAAGACCAAGGGUUCCUGUCCAACGUUAAUCGGGGCAGGGUGAGUCGACCCCUAAGGCGAGGCCGAAAGGCGUAGUCGAUGGGAAACAGGUUAAUAUUCCUGUACUUGGUGUUACUGCGAAGGGGGGACGGAGAAGGCUAUGUUGGCCGGGCGACGGUUGUCCCGGUUUAAGCGUGUAGGCUGGUUUUCCAGGCAAAUCCGGAAAAUCAAGGCUGAGGCGUGAUGACGAGGCACUACGGUGCUGAAGCAACAAAUGCCCUGCUUCCAGGAAAAGCCUCUAAGCAUCAGGUAACAUCAAAUCGUACCCCAAACCGACACAGGUGGUCAGGUAGAGAAUACCAAGGCGCUUGAGAGAACUCGGGUGAAGGAACUAGGCAAAAUGGUGCCGUAACUUCGGGAGAAGGCACGCUGAUAUGUAGGUGAAGUCCCUCGCGGAUGGAGCUGAAAUCAGUCGAAGAUACCAGCUGGCUGCAACUGUUUAUUAAAAACACAGCACUGUGCAAACACGAAAGUGGACGUAUACGGUGUGACGCCUGCCCGGUGCCGGAAGGUUAAUUGAUGGGGUUAGCCGCAAGGCGAAGCUCUUGAUCGAAGCCCCGGUAAACGGCGGCCGUAACUAUAACGGUCCUAAGGUAGCGAAAUUCCUUGUCGGGUAAGUUCCGACCUGCACGAAUGGCGUAAUGAUGGCCAGGCUGUCUCCACCCGAGACUCAGUGAAAUUGAACUCGCUGUGAAGAUGCAGUGUACCCGCGGCAAGACGGAAAGACCCCGUGAACCUUUACUAUAGCUUGACACUGAACAUUGAGCCUUGAUGUGUAGGAUAGGUGGGAGGCUUUGAAGUGUGGACGCCAGUCUGCAUGGAGCCGACCUUGAAAUACCACCCUUUAAUGUUUGAUGUUCUAACGU
Molecule: ribosomal RNA, 2203 nt
Filed under: Escherichia coli
Lineage: Bacteria; Pseudomonadati; Pseudomonadota; Gammaproteobacteria; Enterobacterales; Enterobacteriaceae
Description: partial 23S ribosomal RNA
Rfam family: Bacterial large subunit ribosomal RNA
Source: RNAcentral